AUGCGCCACCUGGAGCUCGUCUUGCUUCCUCCCCAGUCAGAGGACCCCGGAAAGGCUCCAUGGAUCGGCGUCAUGCUCCGAUGCGGCCCCAGGCAAUCGGCGCUGCUCCGGAUAUGCGCAGACAACCUCUACAUCUCCGCUUACCGGAGCUCGGACGGUCUGUGGUCCGAGUUCCUCGGUGGCUCCCUAAUCGCCGGCGCGAAGCCACUCUCGUUCGCCGAUAGCUACGGCAACAUGGCGAGAGUGGCCAAGGCGGCACUCACCCUGGGCAAGGAGGAGCUCGAAGCCGCGGCGGAGCGCCUCACGGCCAGCGCCGGCACCCAGCAGGAGAUCGCAAGAUCGCUGAUGACCAUGUCGGUGAUGGUUAGCGAAGCCAUCAGGUUCAGGAGCGUCGGCGACGCGCUCGGGCACAUGAUGUGCAACGCCGCGCGGCGAGGGGUGCUGCCGGCGCACAUGGUGGAGCAGGUGAAGAACUGGAGGAGCCUGUCCGAGUACUGGCUCGGGGCCGUCCUCUACGCCCAGCCGUUCCUGCCGUACAUAGAGGCCGACGGUAGUCAGCACUAUGGCCACAUCCCCCAGCACCUGCUCGCGCCGGCGAAGAUCGACUGCCAGGACCACGCCAUGAUGGCGCUCGGCGUCGCGCUGAACCGGCAGAGGGGGCUGCAGGACAAGCACAAGGCGGCGCUCGACGAGCACUGGCGCGCCGUGAGAGCCCACGCCCGCAAGCUUGACAGGGAAAGAGCAUCUGCAUCCAGUACAUGA
RNAcentral lists this ribosomal RNA (762 nucleotides) under Triticum aestivum (bread wheat). RNAcentral's name for it is "partial small subunit ribosomal RNA". The record is from RNAcentral. Lineage: Eukaryota; Viridiplantae; Streptophyta; Magnoliopsida; Poales; Poaceae.